UGCUUAUAUUUUGAUACGGAGGGAGUAUAUUUUUUCUGUUGAAACAAGGCAUGCUUCACUCAAACGAAUUUUCUGUUUCAAGCAAUAAUCUCCUUCCCUUCACCGCCACAACAACAACAAUCUUCAAAUUGAUUUGGUGAGGAACCUUACAGAGUACAAUGUUACCAGUAUUUUUUUGGUAUAGGUUCAAUUAAUUUCUAUAUUUUUGUCUCUUAGUAUCCCUGUCAAUUUUGGAUCCUUUCACCGUAAUUUAAUUGUAUUUUGAUUUUUAUGAAACAGAUGCUGCUUCUUGAAGGUUGGUGUGAGCAGAUAUUGGAUAGAACAUCUACAUCUGUUAGAAUGGUUGAUGACUGUGGAAUUGUUUGGG
This 367-nucleotide long non-coding RNA is filed under the name Medicago truncatula (barrel medic). RNAcentral describes it as "long non-coding RNA (MTRU_LNC006669)". The record is from RNAcentral. Lineage: Eukaryota; Viridiplantae; Streptophyta; Magnoliopsida; Fabales; Fabaceae.